Microplitis mediator is the source of this 2322-nucleotide long non-coding RNA. RefSeq lists it as uncharacterized. NCBI's taxonomy places the organism in Eukaryota, Metazoa, Arthropoda, Insecta, Hymenoptera, Braconidae. The record is from RefSeq and is a predicted model, not a curated record. The transcript is spliced from 3 exons.
AAAUGCAUGCUGUUAUCAUCAAUAAAUUUUAUACAACGCAAAUUAUUAAGAAAUAACAAUUAAAAUAGAAGUUGGAAUAUUUAGAGAACGUAAAAAGUCAAGAGUAAAGAAAAUGAAAACUAAAAUGCGGUUUUUUAUAAAUUUCCGGAGGCUGCUGAUCGUUCAGUGUUAUUAAAAAAAAUUUUUUCGAUAAUUUGAAAAAAGUUUAUAGAUUAAAUGCGUGGAAAAAGUUAUUAAAAAUAGAGAAAAUAACUCCUUACAUUUAAAAAAAAAACCCAAUUAUAUAUUGCCAAAUACAUUUAUUUUUGCAUUUAUUUCAUGGGGUUUUCUUUCAUAUGAGACGUUUGUACACAAAGAGCGCGAGUCUAUUCGAUCGAAUCAUCUAAAAUUCACAGGAAAGUUAAUGGCUAACAAGCUCUUUUGAUUGCCGCAAGAACCAUCCACACACACGGACACACACGCACACAAAAUUACAAUCCGAGAAAGUCAUCUUAAAAUGUUUAAAAAAAAAUCAAAAUUCUUACAAAACUCAAAAUAAAAAUUACAACAUAUGAUUUAGAAUAAUAAGGCCAUGGGACGAUAAGAAUACCGAAUCGGCCCCAGAAAGGUAUCGGGCUCCAAAAUUAAGGAAAUGUUGGUACUCAUAAGAUACUUCGAUGCUGCAAGUUUCAGAUCUUUAUCUAUUACCGUUUCUGAAUAAAUCGAAAAAUACUAUAAAUCAGUAAAAAUUGUUAUUUUCAGCACCUUGUGAAUCGAUUGAUCUAAAUACCGGAUGUGUUUUGGGGCAUGAUGGUAGCUUCUAAGAAAAACAAUAUGACCAUUAUGUGUUUAUAAGAACCUUAAAAAAAAACGAGGUUAUUUUCUUAAUUUUAAUUUUUAACCAUGUUACAAUAAUGAUAAAAAUAUGGAACUAUUUUUUUUGAAUUCCUCAUUCAAUUUUCGAUGAAAUUACGAGCAUCGGGAAUUUUUUAAAACGGUACUUCAUAUUGAAUAAAAUUUAAAACAGAUUUAUUGCUCAAAAAUCGAUUUUUGUUUAUGAUUUAACUCUUGCAAUGAUAAAAUACAGAACUUUUGCAAUUGCUGUACUAGUGAAAACAACAGAAUAAAUUAGGAACACUCAUAUAAAAAUUAUUUUAUUUAUUUAUUUUAUUUUAUUUAAAUUUCAAUGCCAAAGCAAAGAGCCAAAUGGCAAAAUACAAAAAAAGAAAUAUAAUUUAAAGUACAUGUAAAACCAUAAACAUAGUCAUUUUCAAAUUAAAGAUUUGACAUAAUAUAACAGUAUAAGAAAAAAGAAAAAAAAAAAUACAAAUAAUCAUAGAUCAGAGCAGUAUAGUUUUGUAUUGUAAAUAUCAAUAUAUAAUGUAAAUUAUUUUAAGAAAUAAAAUUAGCAGACUUUGAUCCCUAGGCAUCCCUGAGUUCAAGGUCAUAGAAGAAUUCAAAGGCUUUUGAUUUAAAUGCCUCUAUGCUUAGUGAGUUUAUGACAUCUGGUGGAAUUUCACGCCAAAGGCGUAUUGUUGAGAUUAAAAAGGAGUGCUCGUAUACUAAUGUCGAGAAAUUUGGAAAGCAGAAAGAGACAUUGUUGUACUUUGAAGCCAACCUUUCCGAGCGUCUGAUGUCUUGUGGCUCAUCAACAAAAAGACAUCUCAAAAAACUUGGUUGACCAGAACUGAAUAAUUUGUAUAAGAAACAGGCUAAAAGAUAAAGUCUUUUUGAUUUGAUUGAAAGCCAUUUUAAGGAGCGACGAUGAGGAGUGAUAUGGUCAUCACGUUUCAAAUUGUAUAGAUAAACCUGAUGCCGUUGUUCACCAAGCGCUGUAGUUUAUAGUCAAGUCUUUUGGAAUUGUCAAUCAACACCAAAGAGCAAUAAUCAAUUAUUGGGAUAAUUAAGGCUGUAAUGAGUAAUUUACGAUUUGCUGUAGACAGAAUGUUCUUCCUAGACUUGAGGCUAUUUAAUGCACCAUAAACCUUGCGUGUGGUAUGAGCCACAUGUACAUCCCAAGAGAGAUUAUUUGUUUUUAUUUUAUUUAUUUUGUAUAAUUGUCCUUUAUAUAAUGAACUCAAAUCAUUAUUAUAAAAUAUAUCUAUAACUAUAAUGAUUAAACCAGUAUAAAAUACUAUUGUUUAUAUAAUUCAACUACGUUUUAAGGAAUGUAAACUUUCCCGCUCCAUUAUUAGUUAAUUCAGUAACCAUACGAUAGCACUGUAAUUCCAAACUAGUAACACGUCCCGAUGAAAAAAGUCUUUGGCUAAUUAUGUAUGAUUAUAUAUCCCUGAUUAAAAAAAGCGAUUUAAAACGAUUUGCAAUGUUAAAUGCCCAUAAGAG